This 200-nucleotide ribosomal RNA is filed under the name uncultured bacterium. Its description in RNAcentral is "partial 16S ribosomal RNA". It matches the Rfam family "Bacterial small subunit ribosomal RNA", at positions 29 to 227 of the family's 1533-position model. The record is from RNAcentral.
AGUGAACGCUGGCGGUAGGCCUAACACAUGCAAGUCGAACGGCAGCACAGUAAGAGCUUGCUCUUAUGGGUGGCGAGUGGCGGACGGGUGAGGAAUACAUCGGAAUCUACCUUUUCGUGGGGGAUAACGUAGGGAAACUUACGCUAAUACCGCAUACGACCUGGUGAAGCAGGGACCGUUCGGCCGUUGUCGCGGAGUAG